RNAcentral lists this long non-coding RNA (763 nucleotides) under Homo sapiens (human). Its description in RNAcentral is "non-protein coding TRG-AS1:19". Lineage: Eukaryota; Metazoa; Chordata; Mammalia; Primates; Hominidae. The record is from RNAcentral.
CUUUUCACAUCUGCAAGGACACUUGGAGGCAACUGCCCAAGGCCACUCUGAGGAGGGUUGAAUGUUCUUUAUUAAAAGGACUGAGGAUCAUGUGUGUUGGUGGGCCUUGGACUCUGCUCUAAGACUCAUGGAGGCAACCACUCAAGGUCACUCUGAGAAGGGUUGAACGUGCUUUAUUAAAAGGACUGAGGAUCAUGUGUGUUGGUGUGUCCCGGAGUCUGCUCUAAGGAAGCCUCUGAUUAGGGCCCGGAACCAACUUCCUUUUCGCAUCUGCAGACUCAUGGAGGCAACCACUCAAGGCCACUCUGAGAAGGGUUGAACGUGCUUUAAAUUAAAAGGACUGAGGAUCAUGUGUGUUGGUGUGUCCUGGACUCUGCUCUAAGGCAGCGCACUCACCAGGAGACAGGAAAGCUAGAAGCACCGCUAGGGCCCACUGCAUGCCUUCCUCUCUGGGGCCUUGGAAGGAAAGGGACCAGAUGAAGAGGAGCAGAAGAUCCUCUUAAAACUCAGGUUCCACUCAACAAGGAAGUGAUCCCUAGCACAGAAGACAGUAGGAGGAGGUGGUCUUCCUGAGACACAAGCAGAGGGAAGUGACUGAGGAUCUGUCUAAGAGGACUCCCAAGCCUUCCUCCCUCCCAGAAGGGUUGGUGCCUGGGAGGACCUGCAGAGGAGCCCCUGCCUCUCUGCUCAGGUCCGUUCUCCGGCGCCCUCUUGUGGCAGCUGAGAGCAGGCCCUCUGCAGAAGAGAGCCAGGGGCAAGGAGA